This 1580-nucleotide ribosomal RNA is filed under the name Niviventer cremoriventer (dark-tailed tree rat). RNAcentral's name for it is "16S ribosomal RNA". It matches the Rfam family "Bacterial large subunit ribosomal RNA". The record is from RNAcentral. Lineage: Eukaryota; Metazoa; Chordata; Mammalia; Rodentia; Muridae.
GAACUAAUUCUAGCCCUAACACCAACAAACACAAUUAUUUUUACAUGUAAAUUAAAACAUUCAAUAAACAAAAAGUAUUGGAGAAAGAAAUUUAUUCUAUUAGGAGCUAUAGAGAAAGUACCGUAAGGGAAAGAUGAAAGACUAAUUCAAAGUAAAAACAAGCAAAGAUUAAACCUUGUACCUUUUGCAUAAUGAAUUAACUAGAAAUCCCUUAACCAAAAGAACUUUAGCUAAGGACCCCGAAACCAAACGAGCUACCUAAAAACAAUUUUAUGAAUCAACCCGUCUAUGUGGCAAAAUAGUGGGAAGAUUUUUAGGUAGAGGUGAAAAGCCUAACGAGCUUGGUGAUAGCUGGUUACCCAAAAAAAGAACUUAAGUUCAACUUUAAAUUUACCAUAAGAACCAUAAAUCAAAAUGUAAAUUUAAAAUAUAGCCAAAAGAGGGACAGCUCUUUAGGAAAGGAAAAAACCUUUAAUAGUGAAUAAAUAUUUUAUAAUUAUAUAACCAUCGUAGGCUUAAAAGCAGCCAUCGAUAAAGAAAGCGUUCAAGCUCAACAUAUAUAAAAAUAUUAAUUCCAUAAAUCUUUAUAAUUUCCUAUUAUAUAUCGUAUAUUGGGUUAAUCUAUAAUCCUAUAGAUGAAAUACUGUUAAUAUGAGUAACAAGAAUAAUAUUCUCCUAGCAUAAGUGUAUGACAACUCGGAUAACCAUUGUCAAUUACCGAAUUAUAGGCACUAAUCACCAAAUAAAACUGCCUAAUAUAAACCCGUUAAUCCAACACAGGUAUGCUACAAGGAAAGAUUAAAAAAAGUAAAAGGAACUCGGCAAACACGAACCCCGCCUGUUUACCAAAAACAUCACCUCUAGCAUAAUAAGUAUUAGAGGCAUUGCCUGCCCAGUGACAUAAGUUAAACGGCCGCGGUAUCCUGACCGUGCAAAGGUAGCAUAAUCACUUGUUCCUUAAUUAGGGACUAGAAUGAAUGGCUGAACGAGGGUUCAACUGUCUCUUACUUUUAAUCAGUGAAAUUGACCUUCCAGUGAAGAGGCUGGAAUAACAUAAUAAGACGAGAAGACCCUAUGGAGCUUUAAUUUACUAGUUUAAUUUUACCUAAAAUUAACCUAAUGGCCUAAAAACAAAAAUAUAAACUAAAAAAUUUCGGUUGGGGUGACCUCGGAGAACAAAAAAACCUCCGAAUGAUUUUAACUUAGACCAACAAGUCGAAGUAACAUAAGUAUCUUAUUGACCCAAAAUUAUUGAUCAACGGACUAAGUUACCCUAGGGAUAACAGCGCAAUCCUAUUUAAGAGUUCAUAUCGACAAUUAGGGUUUACGACCUCGAUGUUGGAUCAGGACAUCCCAAUGGUGCAGAAGCUAUUAAUGGUUCGUUUGUUCAACGAUUAAAGUCCUACGUGAUCUGAGUUCAGACCGGAGCAAUCCAGGUCGGUUUCUAUCUAUUAACAAUUUCUCCCAGUACGAAAGGACAAGAGAAAUGGAGCCACCUUACCAAAAGUGCUCCCAAUUAAUUUAUGAAAAACAUCUCAAUAAAGUAAAUAUGUACUAUAAACUUACCUAGACCAGGUAAU